AGUGAACGCUGGCGGCGUGCCUAAUACAUGCAAGUCGAGCGAACAGACGAGGAGCUUGCUCCUCUGACGUUAGCGGCGGACGGGUGAGUAACACGUGGAUAACCUACCUAUAAGACUGGGAUAACUUCGGGAAACCGGAGCUAAUACCGGAUAAUAUAUUGAACCGCAUGGUUCAAUAGUGAAAGACGGUUUUGCUGUCACUUAUAGAUGGAUCCGCGCCGCAUUAGCUAGUUGGUAAGGUAACGGCUUACCAAGGCAACGAUGCGUAGCCGACCUGAGAGGGUGAUCGGCCACACUGGAACUGAGACACGGUCCAGACUCCUACGGGAGGCAGCAGUAGGGAAUCUUCCGCCAUGGGCGAAAGCCUGACGGAGCAACGCCGCGUGAGUGAUGAAGGUCUUCGGAUCGUAAAACUCUGUUAUUAGGGAAGAACAAAUGUGUAAGUAACUAUGCACGUCUUGACGGUACCUAAUCAGAAAGCCACGGCUAACUACGUG
This 497-nucleotide ribosomal RNA is filed under the name uncultured bacterium. RNAcentral describes it as "partial 16S ribosomal RNA". It matches the Rfam family "Bacterial small subunit ribosomal RNA", at positions 29 to 507 of the family's 1533-position model. The record is from RNAcentral.